Molecule: ribosomal RNA, 489 nt
Filed under: uncultured bacterium
Lineage: Bacteria
Description: bacterial SSU rRNA
Rfam family: Bacterial small subunit ribosomal RNA
Source: RNAcentral
GGCUCAGAUUGAACGCUGGCGGCAUGCUUACACAUGCAAGUCGAACGGUAGUACCCGUUCGGGGGUUGAGAGUGGCGAACGGGUGAGUAAUGCAUCGGAACGUGCCCAGUCGGUGGGGAUAACGCAGCGAAAGUUGUGCUAAUACCGCAUACGACCUGAGGGUGAAAGCGGGGGACCGGUAACGGCCUCGCGCGAUUGGAGCGGCCGAUGUCUGAUUAGCUAGUUGGUGAGGUAAAGGCUCACCAAGGCGACGAUCAGUAGCGGGUCUGAGAGGAUGAUCCGCCACACUGGGACUGAGACACGGCCCAGACUCCUACGGGAGGCAGCAGUGGGGAAUUUUGGACAAUGGGCGCAAGCCUGAUCCAGCCAUGCCGCGUGCGGGAAGAAGGCCUUCGGGUUGUAAACCGCUUUCGGACAGAAAGAAAUCGCAUGGACUAAUACUCUGUGUGGAUGACGGUACUGUAAGAAGAAGCACCGGCUAACUACGUG